GCAGUAGCCGCGGUAAAACGGAGGGUGCAAGCGUUAUCCGGAUUCACUGGGUUUAAAGGGUGCGUAGGCGGAUCUGUAAGUCAGUGGUGAAAUCUCCAGGCUUAACCUGGAAACUGCCGUUGAUACUAUAGGUCUUGAAUUUUGUGGAGGUUAGCGGAAUAUGUCAUGUAGCGGUGAAAUGCAUAGAUAUGACAUAGAACACCAAUUGCGAAGGCAGCUGGCUACACAACUAUUGACGCUGAGGCACGAAAGCGUGGGGAUCAAACAGGAUUAGAUACCCCCGUAGUCCCUGUCUCUUAUAC
Molecule: ribosomal RNA, 302 nt
Filed under: uncultured bacterium
Lineage: Bacteria
Description: partial 16S ribosomal RNA
Rfam family: Bacterial small subunit ribosomal RNA
Source: RNAcentral